Long non-coding RNA from Ipomoea triloba (trilobed morning glory), 555 nucleotides. RefSeq lists it as uncharacterized. Lineage: Eukaryota; Viridiplantae; Streptophyta; Magnoliopsida; Solanales; Convolvulaceae. The transcript has 2 exons. The record is from RefSeq and is a predicted model, not a curated record.
GUUUCCUUCUACAAAGCUAUCCACAAAUUUGGGUACAAUAUUUGAUGGAAUCUGAGCAUGAAUUACUGUGCCCUGUUAAUACAGACUGUUAGAAUAUGAUGUAGGUACUGAUAUAUUGUAUAAAUUUCAUGAUAUAAAUUUAUAUCAUGAAAUUUGAUCUACUGAUAUAUUCACAGGUACAAGGGACAAUAAAAACUGAUAUACAUGCAUGCCUGCUUAUGUAUACAAACUGCAGAAUAGGUAUGGCCUAAAGUUUGACAAUCAGUUCUCAACUUUUUACAGUGUUAACCAAUUCCAUUGCAAAUUUUAUUUUCAUUUUUCUGAGACAAUGUUGCGUACUAACCUGCAAAUUUAUUUAGGAGUAAAAACACAUACCUCUUCAUCGUCAUGGUUUUUGAAGGUGGAUAAUUGACUCGCCAAGAUGUACAUUCCCAUGGUUGAUCGAAGGAAUAUGGAAAUGAAUCGCAAAAUGCUAUCAGUGGAUUUAAAUGUUAAACUGUUGUCGAAGGAAUAUGUAUAUGUGUAUUGUAAUAUAUAAUAUAUUGAAUCCCUUAC